Molecule: small RNA, 897 nt
Filed under: Pongo abelii (Sumatran orangutan)
Lineage: Eukaryota; Metazoa; Chordata; Mammalia; Primates; Hominidae
Description: processed transcript
Source: RNAcentral
CGGGCACGCGCCGCUGGGAGGGCGGGGUGGGUGGCUGGAGGUGCUGGAGAAUCUGGUAAAAGCACCAUUGUGAAGCAGAUGAGGAUCCUGCAUGUUAAUGGGUUUAAUGGAGACAGUGAGAAGGCAACCAAAGUGCAGGACAUCAAAAACAACCUGAAAGAGGCGAUUGAAACCAUUGUGGCCGCCAUGAGCAACCUGGUGCCCCCCGUGGAGCUGGCCAACCCCGAGAACCAGUUCAGAGUGGACUACAUUCUGAGUGUGAUGAACGUGCCUGACUUUGACUUCCCUCCCGAAUUCUAUGAGCACGCCAAGGCUCUGUGGGAGGAUGAAGGAGUGCGUGCCUGCUACGAACGCUCCAACGAGUACCAGCUGAUUGACUGUGCCCAGUACUUCCUGGACAAGAUCGAUGUGAUCAAGCAGGCUGACUAUGUGCCGAGCGAUCAGGACCUGCUUCGCUGCCGCGUCCUGACUUCUGGAAUCUUUGAGACCAAGUUCCAGGUGGACAAAGUCAACUUCCACAUGUUUGACGUGGGUGGCCAGCGCGACGAACGCCGCAAGUGGAUCCAGUGCUUCAACGAUGUGACUGCCAUCAUCUUCGUGGUGGCCAGCAGCAGCUACAACAUGGUCAUCCGGGAGGACAACCAGACCAACCGCCUGCAGGAGGCUCUGAACCUCUUCAAGAGCAUCUGGAACAACAGAUGGCUGCGCACCAUCUCUGUGAUUCUGUUCCUCAACAAGCAAGAUCUGCUCGCUGAGAAAGUCCUUGCUGGGAAAUCGAAGAUUGAGGACUACUUUCCAGAAUUUGCUCGCUACACUACUCCUGAGGAUGCUACUCCCGAGCCCGGAGAGGACCCACGCGUGACCCGGGCCAAGUACUUCAUUCGAGAUGAGUUUCUG